This 467-nucleotide ribosomal RNA is filed under the name uncultured bacterium. Its description in RNAcentral is "partial 16S ribosomal RNA". It matches the Rfam family "Bacterial small subunit ribosomal RNA", at positions 29 to 507 of the family's 1533-position model. The record is from RNAcentral.
ACGCACGCUGGCGGCGUGCUUAACACAUGCCAGUCGAACGGAAAGGCCCUGCUUUUGUGGGGUGCUCGAGUGGCGAACGGGUGAGUAACACGUGAGUAACCUGCCCUUGACUUUGGGAUAACUUCAGGAAACUGGGGCUAAUACCGGAUAGGAGCUCCUGCUGCAUGGUGGGGGUUGGAAAGUUUCGGCGGUUGGGGAUGGACUCGCGGCUUAUCAGCUUGUUGGUGGGGUAGUGGCUUACCAAGGCUUUGACGGGUAGCCGGCCUGAGAGGGUGACCGGCCACAUUGGGACUGAGAUACGGCCCAGACUCCUACGGGAGGCAGCAGUGGGGAAUAUUGCACAAUGGGCGGAAGCCUGAUGCAGCAACGCCGCGUGCGGGAUGACGGCCUUCGGGUUGUAAACCGCUUUCGCCUGUGACGAAGCGUGAGUGACGGUAAUGGGUAAAGAAGCACCGGCUAACCACGUG